This 74-nucleotide transfer RNA is filed under the name Bacteroidota bacterium. RNAcentral's name for it is "Bacteroidetes bacterium tRNA-Thr". It matches the Rfam family "tRNA". From Rfam's summary of the family: Transfer RNA (tRNA) molecules are approximately 80 nucleotides in length. Their secondary structure includes four short double-helical elements and three loops (D, anti-codon, and T loops). The record is from RNAcentral. Lineage: Bacteria; Pseudomonadati; Bacteroidota.
GCCGAUGUAGCGCAGCUGGUCAGAGCAGCUGAUUUGUAAUCAGCAGGUCGUGGGUUCGAAUCCCUCCAUCGGCU